GCUGUAAACUAGCUUUAUUUAUAUACAUAUAACAAUUUAGUAUUUAGGCAUGUGCGAGCGACAAUUAUCCAAUCAGAAUCCAAUAUUUUCAUUUUCCCGCGAAUACGUUUGUUUUGAUUACAUCAUUCAUGAUAGAUACUAUGACAUCAUAACUGAGACCCAGGUCAUUGCGCGGAAUUCAAGAUGGCGUCGGGCAAAUGUGCAUUCCUCGAUUUAGCCGCUAGUAUAAAAUAGAAGCGUAAAACCUCGUUUGUUGCAGUAUAUUCUGGACAAAUAAACAAUUUAUUAGGAAAAUACGUUCAAGAAACGUCUCGUGCUGUACUAGCCUAAUUCUGGCAAAUGUUAUUUACUUUCUUCACCUUCGUGUCGACGACUGUUGUUUGCUGAUGGCCAAAUCACGACAGUGGUCAGUGGAUAUCAAUUAUUCAAAAUAUGUUCUUAUAGCUUCAUGUUUACGAUACGAAACACGUUUUAAUGUAAGAUUAUUUAUUUUUUUUAUAUGUAGGUUCUAGUUGAAAGUGACAGCGACGAUGAAAAAAGUGCACACAACAAUGAAAUAUCCAGUUCACUACUAGCUCGAAUCCUGCGACAUAUCACUUGCUAGUAGCCCAGUCUAGUUUAACUUUGCCCAAUGAAGAAUCAUCUCCUGAAUCAGGCAUACUGGCAACACUGGUUCAUUUGAUAAUGUAAGUUUUUAAACUGGUAUUUUAGAUUAUGGCCUCGGUCAAAUGAGGAUGAAAGUCAUGCAUGAAUUGCUUAUAAAUACACAAAGGACAUUUCAAGUUCCACAUGAACAAAAUAUUAUUAAAGCUUUGAUGAGUGUUCCAACUAUGUUUCAACUUAAUUAAAAUACUCUCAUCCUCGCUUGAUCCAUAAUUAUUUGUUGAUUUUACUCGAUACUAAAUAGUGAAACAUCGAAUCCAGAUAAAAUCUUAUGCAGAACCCACUGUAAUUCCGAGCUGUAAUCACAUAAUUAUAUAAAAGUCGUUUCAGUAGCAGCAAAAGCCAAACUAAACACCAACUAGGAUUAAUAGGUUUAGCUUUUAGGCCGAGAAUAAUACACGAUUGACAAUUUUGUGGCUGAUUGAUUUAAUAGUAUACUGUAUAUUGAUCUGGUUGCUGUAUACAGGACAUCUGACUUACAUGUCAAAUUAAUAGUCAAAUCUAUGAUUAUAUUGAGCAUGGCAGAUUUGACAUUUGAAACAUUGUUGAUGUUAAUAACCCAAUGAGUCGCAUUGCGCCCUGAUGCGCACUAAGUAUUUAUUGUUUUACUCUGGUUAUCUAACGCUAGGCAAUUUUACUCAUCAAGGGGAGAGCACUGGCGGUUAAUGUGUUAACUAGCCUAUCUGCCCAUGUUUACAGUUAACCCAUUGAGUCGCAUUGUGCCCUAAUGCGGCCUAAUUUAUUAUUUUACUCUGCCUAUCGCAGGACAAUUUUACUCAUUAAGGCAGAGCGCUGGCACUUAAUGUGUUAACUGGCCUAUCUGCCCAUGUGUCUAGUUAACCCAUUGAGUCGCAUUGCGCCCUAAUUUAUUAUUUUACUCUUUCUAACGCCAGAUAAUUUCACUCAUUAAGGGGAGAGCACUGGUACUUAAUGGGUUAACUGGCCUAUCUGCCCAUGUGUGUAAUUGUUAACACAUUGAGUCGCAUUGUGCCCUAAUUUAUUAUUUUACUCUGUCUAACACCAGGGGCCGGUUGUAUAAAAAGGUGAUUAAAGUUAACUAUAGUUAGUGGAAACGUCAUCCAAUAAGAAGCGCGUAUUUGAGAGUUAAUCACUAUUUAACUACAAAAUAGUGAUUAAAAAGUGAUUAAGAGUUUUAUACAACCGGCCCCAGAUGAUUUUACUCGUCAAGGUAAGGGCGCUGGUGCUUAAUUUUAAUGGGUUAACUGGCCUAUUUGCCCAUGUUUAUAGUUCACCCAUUGAGUUGCAUUGCAGCCUACUUUAUUUUUUUUACUCUGUCUCGAGAGGAGAAUGCUGGUGGUGAAUCCCCAUUAACCACCAGCAUUCUCCUUAAUAUUGAAAAUAUAGAUCAACAUUUGUCAAAACUCAUGACUUGUGCAAUCAUUUCUCUAAUAAUUAAGAUAUUAAAAUACCAAAUAUAAUGCCUUAUGGCUUAUUUUAAAUAGGGAGAUGCUAUGUGACUAUGUCCAUUGAAACUUAGUGGAUUUGUUGUAGCUACAUCAAAUAAAUGCUAGCCAAAAACAUAUUCAAGUCAAUCGAAGAGAAUGUAGAAUUGCACUUUACAUAAAAUUCCCUAGUUAUUGUACAUUAAUGAAAAGCAUUUGAAAUGGAAAUAUAUUGUUUUAAUUUUAUUUCUAUGGUUUGUACUAUGAUAUACAUGGGCUAUACACUCUUUGGGAACCCGCAGGGCUGUUGGCAGAGCAUUUCCAUGAUCUGGAACUUCAGUCCUAAACACGAUGUGUGGGUGCGAAGGUGUUGUGUAGGAACAGAACUGUACAGAUUAGAAAUAUGAUUACUGAUAUGUUCCAAAGAAAAACUAUUAAUAUAUAGAAGAGGAAAGAAAGAGGCAAUAAAUAGCCCAAAGUAUCUGUUGUACAUUUGAAAUUUUAAAAUGGUAGGCUUAUUAAGCAUGAGAUACAGAGAAAAACAGUAAUGCAGAACUACAUUCUCUUAAAUUGUCAAAAUUAAACGCUACCAGUCUUGGUUUCGUUUCAAACUUGAAUAACGAAAAGUCUAAAAAUAUAGAAACUAUAAGAACAGAUCAGCUAAGUCCAGUUAUAAAAUUAAAUGAUGAAGGAAAGUUGUCAUUUUAGGAAAGUAUUGUUUUGGGGUGUGUGAACUCAUGAGGUUACAUGUUUCUGGUGAAUCUGCUUGCUGCAGCAAAAAUUUAUUAAUCAUUUGUGACAUAAUUCACAAGAUGUCUAUUUUAACCUGUGGGUUGCCAAACUUCUUAAAUAUGGAAUUUGUUUUGUCUGACCAAGAUAUAAUGAAUACCACUAGUGACAUGAGUAUGUCCAAUUAAUAUUUAACUAGAAAUAAAUGCAUGCAGCAACCCCUAGCCUAUAUUUUUCAAACAUUGAUUUAACAUGAACUAUUAGCAAUUGGCCAGCACUGAACACAGGCUCACGUUGUGUCAAGUGUUGUCAAGGCAACAUAAUGUCACAUUAUAUUUUAAAUUUUUUUGAGUAAUUUUGCAAGACAGUGUUCAUACCACAGAAUUUACCAUACAUAAUUUUAAACUAAUAGAUAGGUGAAGUAAUUCAAACAAAAUGAUUUUGAACUUUAUUACUCUACUCUGUCGAACGCCUAUUCUACUCGUAAAGGGGAGAGCCCUGGUGCUUAAUGGGUUAAAUAAGAUUGUAUAGUUAUAUGUAUAUCAUGUAUUAUGUUUUACCAGGCUAUGGAAAUUCAUGUUUCCAAUUUUGUAUUUAUUUUUCUUAUGAUACAGUAUACUGUAAAUUUGAAUAAUAUUUGUGUGCUUAUAGUGAGCAUAUUUUUAGGAGAGUUUGUUGCGAGGCAGCAUAUAUUUUGAUAUUUCAAAAUAUUACUGUAUAUUGGUAUGUUAUAUUUAAUGCUUUUGGAAGGGUUAUAGGGGUCGGGUGUGAUAUACUUUUUCAGGUAUUUUGUGUCUGAUGUAUGUAAGAGCUUUAUUAUUGGGUUUCUUGGUGAGACCUUAUAUCUUAUGUGUCCUAUAACCCUCUGUAAUUGCGGAUUAUUGCAUACAUUCUAAUUGUAUUUUUUUUGUAGGAGUCCAAAGAUGCAAAUGAUACAAUUUCAAACUUAUCACAACCCAUAUUGUGGCCGCUGGCAGCGAACUAGAAUACGACUAGAAACUGUCAAUCAUACGUUAUCGAGGGAAAGGAUUAAAGUUCCAUAACAAGCAACAGUUGUUUUGAUGCAAUUAUCGCCUUAUUGGCAAGUUUUUACAUCUUCAAUAUUGAGUACUGCCACACGAAGAGCAUCUUGUCUGCCUUGCAGACUAUAGUAGUGCAUGGCCAACACAGAAAAUGGCAUACAACUGCCAAUAGUGAGUUUAAGCAAGUGACGUUUUUGACAACACGGACGUCGACCGGAGGUAAAGUUGACGUUGCUCAUGCCGUCAGUGUUGUCAAAAACGUCACUUGCUUAAGCUCACUAAUGAGGGUCACAGCCCUCUUCAAUGACUUGUCAUGACUCAUGAAUAUUAGUACUACAGUAAUUUUACACUUUUUGAGAGUUAUGUUGACAUAUAUUAACCCAAGUUAAUGUUAUUGAUGGAAUGUGUGUAUUGUCUCACAUCUCACCGAACUGUGGUAAUGUAUUAGAAAUUAUUCGUAUUGCGUUAUGUUAACAACCGCGCCUGCUAUUGCUAUCACAAGUUGAUUGCUCUUUAAAAUUAGAAUUGUAAACUUUCGGAGCCAUAUGGCAUAUAUGUACGAAUCUUUUGAUGGUUCCCACAUUUCGGUGAGAUACAUAAUACUGACUACUGUGCAUGUAUAUUGUAAUUUUAGUUAUAGUAUUGUGUUUAUAAUACAGAAAUUGGAACAUUAUUUAUCUCAACUUAUAUUACAAUAAUUAAUUCCAAUCUUGGUCUGUUGGAGAAAUUGUAAUAAGACCAAAUAAACCCCAUUAUUUUUGCCUGAUUCAUUAUAUACAUGUAGAAUACGUCUACAUGCAAGAGUGCAACCAAAUCAUGCACAUGACUUUAAAUGCUAUAUAAAAC
Non-coding RNA from Paramuricea clavata, 4663 nucleotides. The record is from the annotation of a GenBank genome assembly. Lineage: Eukaryota; Metazoa; Cnidaria; Anthozoa; Malacalcyonacea; Plexauridae.